This is a long non-coding RNA of Ylistrum balloti, 4246 nucleotides long. RefSeq lists it as uncharacterized. The record is from RefSeq and is a predicted model, not a curated record. Lineage: Eukaryota; Metazoa; Mollusca; Bivalvia; Pectinida; Pectinidae. The transcript is spliced from 4 exons.
GGGAUUGAACACCCAACAGGUCCAUAAUGUCAACUUUGCCUUUGAACUGAUGCAAGAUGGUGGACUUCCAAAGCCCAAAGCACGACCAGAAGAUGUUGUUAACCAAGAUCUGAAAUCAACUCUACGUGUCCUCUAUAACAUCUUCACCAAAUACAAAGGUCAAGCACCGUGAUAUGACAAUGUCAAAAUGUCUCUGUGAAAUCAGCUCCAAGAACAACACCACACUGCCAAGUAAACUUCGACAAACCACAGCAGCUGAAACCAGUGUUAAACAUUGAAACUCAUUUGUCUGCUUAUCGUAUUUAUUUUGUAUACUGCAUUUACAAUGUACUUCUUAUAUACUGGUACAGUUGAAGUACAAGCUUCACAAAUUACUAAUGCCUCUGUAACAUCAGAAAUACUGUAAACUUUUUGCUUUGGCAGGUUCAAAUCAAAAUCCAUAUUAGAAUUUAAAUGUACCCACAGUAUUUGUUGUAGAACUUUUAAAAACUGUGGUUAGCGUAGUUGUAGCUAGUGCUAGAAUGAUCAUACCUGACACAGCUGAAUGUUUACAGUAUCCUUUCUGAUAUUGCAGUAACAGUAGGUUACCAUAUGGGAAACCUUCUUUAUAAUGUUACACUUUUUUAUUCUAAUAAUGCUUGGGACUCGACAUUUUUCAACUAGGGAACUUUAAGGUCAUGUACUUUAAAUAUUCUCAUUAUUUAUAUGGUGUUAAUGUUAUGAAUUUACUGUCACUAUAUUUUAUGUUUAUGUCAUUUUCUUGUGUUAUAUCAUUCAUACUGAAAAAUUAUCCAAACAACUGGUAUUAUCACAUCUCAUUUUCUGUGUAUGUAGGUGUUACCUGUGCAUGUAGGUGUUACCUGUGUAUGCAGGUGUAACCUAUGUAUGUAGGUGUUACCUAUGUAUGUAGGUGUAACCUAUGUAUGUAGGUAUUACCUGUGUAUGUAGGUGUUACCUAUGUAUUCAAGUGUUACCUGUGUAUGUAGGUGUUACUUAUUUAUGUAGGUAUUACCUGUGUAUGUAGGUGUUACCUGUGUAUGUAGGUGUUACCUAUGUAUUCAGGUGUUACCUGUGUAUGUAGGUGUUACUUAUGUAUUCAGGUGUUACCUGUGUAUGUAGGUGUUACUUAUUUACGUAGGUAUUACCUGUGUAUGUCGGUAUUACCUGUGUAUGUAGGUGUUACCUAUGUAUGUAGGUAUUACCUGUGUAUGUAGGUGUUACCUAUGUAUGUAGGUGUUACCUGUGUAUUUAGGUAUUACCUGUAUAUUUAGGUGUUACCUGUGUAUGUAGGUAUUACCUGUGUAUUUAGGUAUUACCUGUAUAUUUAGGUGUUACCUGUGUAUGUAGGUAUUACCUGUGUAUGUAGGUAUUACCUGUGUAUUUAGGUUUUACCUGUAUAUUUAGGUGUUACCUGUGUAUGUAGGUAUUACCUGUAUAUUUAGGUAUUUCCUGUGUAUGUAGGUAUUACCUGUGUAUGUAGGUAUUACCUAUAUAUUUAGGUGUUACCUAUGUAUGUAGGUAUUACCUGUCUAUUUAGGUAUUACCUGUGUAUGUAAGUAUUACCUGUGUAUUUAGGUUUUACCUGUGUAUGUAGAUGUUACCUGUCUAUUUAGGUAUUACCUGUGUAUGAAGGUGUUACCUGUGUAUGUAGAUGUUACCUGUAUAUGUAGGUGUUACCUAUGUAUGUAGAUGUUACUUCUAUAAUUGUUACCUGUGUAUGUACGUGAGGAGAAACAUCUGGUACUGCCUGGAGAGAUGGUUUGGAGCAGUACCAGUAUCCUAUAUCUGGGAAUCAGCUUAUAACUGGCCUCAGUUACUGGCUUACAUACCAGUUUUUUGGUUGUUUAUUCUGUGCGGUAACAUAAUCUAGACGUCAUCACUAACAAGACAAGUGUGUACUAAGUUGUUACAAAUCACUCUGUUGUUUGUCGGUAUGUGAGUUAAAAGAACAUAGAACCUUAUCUAAGCUUUCAUUACUUUGUUCACCAUAGUUAAUAUAUGUAAUGGAAAGCAAGGAGUGAACUCUAAAAUCGGCUGCUUUCAGUCCAAUUUGGCGUUGAAUUUAGGUCAGUCUUUGGAAGCAUUGGUUAAUAUGUUGACUCCUGCCAUCAUUGUUUGUGGUCCAAGAUUCUAGUCUAUCAUUGCAAGGUCCAAGUUCAAAGAUAAAUGAGUGAAGUCUCUAUGAACAUUUCCCUUUUCACCUAUAUUCACACUGGUCUACUCGAAGGGUUUUUUUUAAGCCAAACACACAUACAGCUAACCUAAAACAUCUGUGUCCUAUUUUUUGUGGGAUAAUCCAGUGGGUCAUAUCACAGUUGAAGUACUGUACCUUAUACUUAAGGAUCACUUUACAUUGUAGUCCAGUAUCACUGGUACUCCUGUACACUGUACUCAGUACAUUGUAUUUAUCACUCCUCUCUUUAUCCCUGUAUAUCAUAUCCAGUAUCACUGUCUACACACUGUACUCAGUGUAUAUGAUGGGAUGGACUCCCUCUCAUUAUGGUACAAAUCAGCUAAGACAAUAGUGUGUAUUUUGUAAUUGACUGUAUAAGUGAGAUUGACCAGAUGCCAAAGCCUACACAAUAGUGUGAUAGUGUUUCAUACCCUGCAGUGUUAUCAGUGUUAGUGUGGUAAAUAAUCAGAAAUGUGUCUCAUCAAAAUCGAGAAAUACACUUGUUAAUUUCUUAUAAUGUCUUAUAAUGUAAAUUAUUUCAUUGGAAAGAAAAAAUUCUCCACUUGAAAUUAUCUAAUUUUAUCAUAUUGAUUUCUAAAGCUGUAGUUUGAAAUGUAUAACAUUUACCAUAGCUUGUGCUUGAGAACAAAAGAGUAUGAAUCAAUUUAUUAACAGUUACAUCUAUCAAUACCUCUGAAAUUAAAAGAUCACCAUGCCAUCCAUCAUAAAGUUGUUAUUUUUCAACUGUUUUUAUAUGCAAAAAUGACAUUAUACAGGUGUUAUAUAAUCUACCCCAGUAUUACAGUAUACAGGUGUUAUAUAAUCUACCCCUGUAUUACAGUAUACAGGUGUUAUAAUCUACCCCUGUAUCACUGUAUACUGGUGUUAUUUUUACUGUAUGCAAAUGUUUUCUGUGAUUUUGAUAUGAAGUAAACAAAUUUAUUUUAAAAAGAAUCGUUUAAUUCACUGUCUUCUUAUUAACUGAUAGGUACUGUAUUAAGUGGUCUAGACCUCAUUUUGUCAUAGAAGAUACCGAUAUCAUUGGAAAAAUUUUUGGUUUUUUUGAUAAUUUGAAGUUUUUAAAGAUAUGUUUGAAACCAAAGAAUAUUAGUGCUUUGCCAAAUGUUUAAAAUAAACUAUCAGAAAAUGUGAGCUAUAUAGACAAGAAUAGUUUGUUUGACUGUAGGCGUGGUAGAUAUUAUUGCUUACGUUAUCUAUGUAUAGCGUCCUCAAUAUGCCUCAUCAUUACAGGAAUGUUUCUUAUGUUCUUGAGACGAUUAUAGAUCUGUAUUUAUAUUUAUUUAUAUAUUUGUGUGUAUGUUUAAAUUAUCUAACCUUCUUUUCAUCUUGUGUUAUUUUAGAAUGCAACUUCUAUUUUUUCAAAAUAAAAAUAUUCUGGCAGGCAAGAAGUAAGAAAUGUAGAGUAAAAAUGGCUUGAAAGUUUGCUUAAUGGUCAAAUAAAAAUUUCUUAACGAUAUGAUUGAAAAAUUGCGUCAUAUGAUCAGAAUUUAUAUAUGCAACUUUUUUUUAGUUGAUUUAUCCUUCUAAAGCAAUAUGAAUUCUUCAAAGCCAAAAGUAUUAAAAUCUCAUCUAUAUGGUUAUAUUGUUAUAACGAUUAUGAUAUACAGUGUAAUUAAUAUACUGUAAAGUAGAUAUUGAUGUGUUUUGAUGUUUUAACAGUGUUGAAAUUUUACACUGGUAAUGUUACCAGAUGCUUUAUAGUAUGUCUUUCUGAUUCUUUUUACAUAAUUCUGUGUUGGUCAAGCAAACCCAAAAUAAACAUGAAACUUUAAAAACAAGAUCAUUCAAAAUUCAAAAUCAAUUGAAUUAAUUACAGAGUGUUUCUACAUAAUUGUGGCCUUGACCUAUUUCAUAAAUCAUUAUUAGAUAUAUAUAUAUAUAUAUAUAUUUGUUUGAUUAAGUUAUGUCAUUUCUGCUGGAAUGCAAGGUAUCUGUACAUACUUUUGGUGCUAAAUCUAUAAUUAUAUAUAAUCACAUAUUUAGAUGACAUUUAAAAUAUGUAUAAACAAUAAUAAUAUGUGCAUGACAAUAAAAAAUUUUUUUAUUAAACAA